Molecule: long non-coding RNA, 1216 nt
Organism: Anguilla anguilla (European eel)
Lineage: Eukaryota; Metazoa; Chordata; Actinopteri; Anguilliformes; Anguillidae
Exons: 3
Source: RefSeq, a predicted model, not a curated record
UUUGGCAUAGGUUUUUGUGAAGAUGAAAAUAUAUAAUACAUUCCUUUCAAUGUUGCAAUACUGCAAAUUAAUAUGCAUCUCCCUACUUGGACUGCCAAUUUUACCAGCUAGUUUAUCUAUUUCUGACUGUAACCUGGAAAUUUUGUUUCAAAUGUUUAAUAUUUUGCUCUAACAUAUCCCUUAUUACAUUUCUGUUACCAUUUAUUCUAUUUCAACUAUUGCACCAGGGAUGGGCUCUUCCCAUAUUCUGCUUCCUCGCAAGAUUUCUUCUCACCUUCUCACCGCAUUUCUUUUCUCACCACCGUUGGAGCAUUUUUAUUUAUUAAUUCAUUUUACCUAAAUUGCUCGCUUUUUGGGGUUUCUGGCCUGGUUUGUGCACGAGUGUGCGUGUGCGUGUGCGUGUGUGUGUGUGUGUGUGUGUGUGUCGAACUGGAGUUUGGAAUCCUGCCUCCUGUGUCCACAUAAUAGUCGGUAGACACCCCCACACUAUAUUGAGAGAGCUGGUUAAUCAUGACCCGAUUCUGUCAGCAGCAGGAUUGAAUUUGAGCUUGUGUUUUCAUCACACCUGGAAUACCACAUAGAUUACAGAACAGGAGAGAAGAGAAAAUGAGCAUUGCUUCAUAUAAAGAGGCCCCUCGGUGUCAGGGCUGUCCUGCGCAGAGCACGUUUGGCUGUUUCAUGUGGAUUUAUGGAGUAAUCUGGCAGGCGAUGCUAAGUAAUGAAGUCCUCAGCGUUUCAUUAGAGAAGGGCAAGACUGCGUGACAGCACAAAGGUCUACUGCGAUGGAAGUUAAUUGGCAGGCUACAGCACUUUGUCAUAAUGUCCUGAAUCACCCUGUUCUCUGCACUGGCCCUGGUUGCCAUGGUGAUGGUUCAAAUGUUUCAAAUUUGAACUGACACUCCUCAACAGUCACUGACUAACUGUUUCUCCUGAGCUUCUAUUUGAAUGUGAUUUCAAAUAUCAUUUAUGGAUUUUUUUUUUUUAAUCGGGCAUCUUCAGGACAACCUCCUGCCAGAUGAAGAUUGUAUUAAUUCAUUGCCAGAUUUAUAGCCCACUUUUCUUAUAACAGUGUAUGGUACAAUCCAUUACAUAAGUAUAAAUAUUCAUUAUGAAUCUCUGGUUUACCGAGCUCCUCAUUUUGAAAUUGAUUCUGUUGUAAUGCCUAAAUGACUGGAUAAAGCCUGACUGUCUGUCCUGGGCUGACAGGAUAAUCAAA